UACGGAGGGGGGCUAGCGUUGUUCGGAAUUACUGGGCGUAAAGACGCACGUAGGCGGCUUUGUAAGUUAGAGGUGAAAGCCCGGGGCUCAAGCUCCGGAAUUGCCUUUUAACGAUCUGCAUCGCUAGAAUUGUGGAGAGGUAAGUGGAAUUCCGAGUGUAGAGGUGAAAUUCGUAGAUAUUCGGAAGAACACCAGUGGCGAAGGCGACUUACUGGACACAUAUUGACGCUGAGGUGCGAAAGCGUGGGGAGCAAACAGG
RNAcentral lists this ribosomal RNA (259 nucleotides) under uncultured bacterium. RNAcentral's name for it is "partial 16S ribosomal RNA". It matches the Rfam family "Bacterial small subunit ribosomal RNA", at positions 524 to 776 of the family's 1533-position model. The record is from RNAcentral.